This 1853-nucleotide unclassified non-coding RNA is filed under the name Leishmania donovani. RNAcentral describes it as "gene:unknown". Lineage: Eukaryota; Euglenozoa; Kinetoplastea; Trypanosomatida; Trypanosomatidae. The record is from RNAcentral.
AAACGCGAUAUGUGUACAUCAAACAAAUGAUGUGCUCGUAGUUGUUGGUAUGCUCGGUGAGUGUGUGCUGAUACAGAGGCUGAAUGACAGUCAGAGUAGCCGUCUCAAGGCAUACUGUCCGUAGCCCCCAUUUGUCUGCAAUAACGGACUGCUCCUUUCUCUUCAUCGAGCCCAUUACUUGGCCAUAAAGCGUGCGUCGCACGCCCCGCUACCCACCAGUCUGUCACAGACGCGAUCGCGUAUGUGCCGAUCGCACCCGUGGACACGCGUUACAGCAACGCACCGGCUCGACGGCCUGAGCGCGGCCUCUGCGCCAACCUCGACUCAUCAUCCACCGCCGCUGCGCAGGCUGCCUCACACCCGCGGCUCCCACCAUGCUGGCCGCCACCUGGCGCACCUCUCUCGGGGUCACACGCAGGCGUCCCGCACCAGUAGACCGUGUGAGGGCCGUGGGGCGGGAUGCGCUCGAGGCACGUUGGCGCUUCGCCCACCAUAUAGGUGGCACGAGCGUGCUCGCACCGUCUCGGGCCGCUCCGACGCAGCGCCGCCCAGGACCUGGCCGCCGACACCGGUUAGCCGUAAAGCGGCCCUGGCUUCGCCCUCUCCUAAUCACAGGUGGCUCGGCAGGGGCAAGGGAUAGCGGGGAGGGGGGAAGGGUGCCGCUUGGCUUUUCCAGAAAGAGCGGCGGUACUGAACUCUGAGAUGCGACGGUGAUUUGUUGCCCAACUGAAAAACCGAUAUGUUGAAGAACGAGAAGACAAAACCAGAUAGCUAUACGGAGAAAAACAGGCUUAGUGUCGACAGUUCAGCCCCUUCCUCGCCAUCCUUCUGCACGUAUCGUUCGCCAGCAUGUCACAUUCUUUUGCGUGCCCCCUUCUUCGGGUACCUGGGGCUACCGCUAUGGACUUGUGUAAGCCUUCCCUUCGCGAUGUGAGGUGAAAGCGUGUUUCUCUUUUUUCUCGUUCGGCUGCCGUCUCGCUUGUGGAGGAGCGUUUGCCCGCGGUGUGCGUAUGUUUGGUGUGAGGCCUGUGUGCGUUAAAAGUAGCCGUCGAUUGCUGCCCUCCCUGCCCCCGGACUUGAAUACACAAUGGGUAAAGGGAAAAAAAAACGAAGGAAAAGGCGCCACGAGGGCGCGAGGUUUUGUGGGCGUUUUGGGGGUAUGUCGGUGGAUGCAUUGGCCAUGGUGAUGACCGUUGCCUUGUGCAGUGUAGACGUCGGUGUGUUUGUGCAUACAUGAGGUACGUACCGGCCGGUGUUUUGUGCCCCUGACACAGCCGCACACGUAGGGGAUUCUAUGUGAACGGAACGGUGUGCCGCUGGUGGUGAUUCCACCCCACCCCACCCCCACCUCUCGCCCUCUUCCUGCUCCCCUCUCCAGCCCCUUUCCUCGCUUCUAAUGCACAUGGUCAUCAUCGAAUACGUAUGCGGUGAGCGGGUCGCCGCGAGAAAGUGUGUGCUGGAACAACGGAUUAGGCGAAGAGACGAGCCGAGAGCUCAGCGCCAUAAUCCCCCGACGCAAGCCCGUAGUAACUGAAAAGAAAACCAUGCUUGCACGACAAGGGGGGCGGGCGCUGCAGCUCACGUACGCGCAUCCACCAAGCCUUUGUCGACGGUUUCGUCAUUGCCACACUCGACAUUGAUGGACGGUGCGAGCUGAGAGGGUUGUGCACUGCCAUCGUCCAGCAUGCACGCUUCGGCCAUCCUAGUCGAGUGUACGCUUUUCUCGUUCUCCCUCUACCCGCAUGCUUCCACACAAGCAGACCACUACUUCAUCUGUGACAUGUCUUAUUCUCUCCAUCUUCCCCACCCCCUUUCUCUCUGCUUGCCUGCGUCGGUCGCACUGCCAUUGCAAG